GGGUCGCUGGUCUAGCGGUAUAAUACGUUAUCCUAUAUCUUCUAUCUUAAGGAUAGGCCUAGGCCUGUCCUUAAGGUAGGAGUGAGUACGAAGUCGUAGGUUCGAAUCUUACGCGAUCCA
Non-coding RNA from Lasiosphaeria ovina, 120 nucleotides. Lineage: Eukaryota; Fungi; Ascomycota; Sordariomycetes; Sordariales; Lasiosphaeriaceae. The record is from the annotation of a GenBank genome assembly.